GAAGCGGCCUUCGGGCCGUGAGUAGAGCGGCAGACGGGUGAGUAACACGUGGGUAACCUGUCCUCAGGUGGGGGAUAACUCGGGGAAACUCGAGCUAAUACCGCAUGACAUCGCCAGGGCCUCGGCCCAGGCGAUCAAAGCCGGGGAUCCUUCGGGACCUGGCGCCAGAGGAGGGGCCCGCGCCCGAUUAGCUUGUUGGUGAGGUAACGGCCUACCGAGGCGACAAUCGGUAGCCGGCCUGAGAGGGCGACCGGCCACACUGGGACUGAGACACGGCCCAGACUCCUACGGGAGGCAGCAGUGAGGAAUCAUGCGCAAUGGGGGCAACCCUGACGCUGCGACGCCGCGUGGGCGAUGAAGGCCUUCGGGUCGUAAAGCCCUGUCGAGAGGGAAGAAAAACCCGGUCGCGAAUACCGGCCGGGUUCGACGGUACCUCUGGAGGAAGCCCCGGCUAACUCCGUGCCAGCAGCCGCGGUAAUACGGAGGGGGCGAGCGUUGUUCGGAAUUACUGGGCGUAAAGCGCGCGUAGGCGGUCUGGUAAGUCGGAUGUGAAAGCCCUCGGCUCAACCGAGGAAUUGCAUCCGAUACUGCCAGGCUUGAGUCCGGUAGGGGGUAGCGGAAUUCCGGGUGUAGCGGUGGAAUGCGUAGAUAUCCGGAGGAACACCGAUGGCGAAGGCGGCUACCUGGGCCGGUACUGACGCUGAGGCGCGAAAGCUAGGGGAGCAAACAGGAUUAGAUACCCUGGUAGUCCUAGCUGUAAACGAUGGGCACUUGGUGUCGCGGGUUUCUACCCCUGCGGUG
RNAcentral lists this ribosomal RNA (801 nucleotides) under uncultured bacterium. Its description in RNAcentral is "bacterial SSU rRNA". It matches the Rfam family "Bacterial small subunit ribosomal RNA", at positions 70 to 845 of the family's 1533-position model. The record is from RNAcentral.